GGUACAUGGUAGGAGAGCGUUCUAAGGACGGCGAAGCUAGACCGUAAGGACUGGUGGAGUGCUUAGAAGUGAGAAUGCCGGUAUGAGUAGCGAAAGAUCAGUGAGAAUCUGGUCCACCGUAUGACUAAGGUUUCCUGGGGAAGGCUCGUCCUCCCAGGGUUAGUCGGGACCUAAGCCGAGGCCGAGAGGCGUAGGCGAUGGAUAACAGGUUGAGAUUCCUGUACUGGUUAAACUUGUUUGAACAAUG
RNAcentral lists this ribosomal RNA (247 nucleotides) under Ligilactobacillus salivarius. RNAcentral's name for it is "partial 23S ribosomal RNA". It matches the Rfam family "Bacterial large subunit ribosomal RNA", at positions 1220 to 1466 of the family's 2925-position model. The record is from RNAcentral. Lineage: Bacteria; Bacillati; Bacillota; Bacilli; Lactobacillales; Lactobacillaceae.